Molecule: RNA transcript, 3659 nt
Organism: Cebus imitator (Panamanian white-faced capuchin)
Lineage: Eukaryota; Metazoa; Chordata; Mammalia; Primates; Cebidae
Gene name: 40S ribosomal protein S3a-like
Exons: 1
Source: RefSeq, a predicted model, not a curated record
AUCACUAAUCUAUGAAAAUGAAAAUUUUUGUGUAGUAUAUACUUAUUUUAACCAUUAAAAAUCUAUGAAGUCGCCUUUUGGCUCUCUGAGCAGCACCAUGGCGGUUGGCAAGAAUAAGCGCCUUACGAAAGGCAGCAAAAAGGGAGCCGAGAAGAAAGUGGUUGAUCCAUUUUCUAAGAAAGAUUGGUAUGAUGUGAAAGCACCCGCUAUGUUCAAUAUAAGAAAUAUUGGAAAGACGCUAGUCACCAGGACUCAAGGAACCAAAAUUGCAUCUGAUGGCCUCAAGGGUCGAGUGUUUGAAGUUAGUCUUGCUGAUUUGCAGAAUGAUGAAGUUGCAUUUAGGAAAUUCAAGCUAAUUACUGAAGAUGUUCAGGGCAAAAACUGCCUAACUUCCAUGGCAUGGAUCUUACCCGUGACAAAAUGUGCUCCUGGUCAAAAAAUGGCAGACAAUGAUUGAAGCUCAUGUUGAUGUCAAGACUACCGAUGGUUACUUCCUUCGUCUGUUCUGUGUUGGUUUUACUAAAAAACGCAACAAUCAGAUACGGAAGACCUCUUAUGCUCAGCACCAACAGGUCCGCCAAAUCCAGAAGAAGAUGAUGGAAAUCAUGACCCGAGAGGUGCAGACAAAUGACUUGAAAGAAGUGGUCAAUAAAUUGAUUCCAGACAGCAUUGGAAAAGACAUAGAAAAGGCUUGCCAAUCUAUUUAUCCUCUCCAUGAUGUCUUCAUUAGAAAAGUAAAAAUGCUGAAGAAGCCCAAGUUUGAAUUGGGAAAACUCAUGGAGCUUCAUGGUGAAGGCAGUGGUUCUGGAAAAGCCACUGGGGAUGACACAGGUGCUAAAGUUGAACGAGCUGAUGGAAAUGAACCACCAGUCCAAGAAUCUGUUUAAAGUUCAGACUUAUAAUAGUGGCAAAUAAAAAGUCUUAUUUGUGGGAAAAAAAAAAAAAUCUAUGAAGUCACUGUUAGUCUUGAACCUAAAAGUGUCUCAAUAAACAUGGUUUAUCAUAAAAUUACUUUGCCUAGUAUUCUCAAAGUGUAAUCAUAUAAUCACCCAAUAAUUUCAAUUUUGAUAAUGCAGUUUACUAAAAAAAAAGUCUUCAAAUUUUGUGUUACAAAUAGACAUGCCAAUUGCAAAACUUAAGGAACCUGGGUCCCCAAAAUACAACAAAAACUUGAGAAGACAUCAUCAGUUUUUCCGGAAAAUAAAGAAAGACUGUUUUCUAAAGUUAAUCUUAUCCACACUGCCUGGCAGUGGUUUCAGAAAAGGAACUGAAGGAAAGAGAAAAAACAAACCACAUCCCAUAGUUACUUAAUACAAAUUUUCACUAAAUACAAUUUGACCUAAGUAUCAUUUUCUUAGUAACUAUUACUUUUAGAGUUUCAUUUUAUCAUCUUCAAAAACUUAUGAAAAUUGAAAAUAUGCCCAGCAGGAGACAAGCUUCUCUAUUCACUCAUAUGUUAGUUUAUUUCUUGAUUUGGUACAACUCCAAAGACAGAGCCAUUUCUUUUAAGUGCUGCAAGAGUUGGAGAGAAUAUGGUCCCAGCAUGUUGCAAAAGGGAUCUAUGUUGUACAAUCUAAGUCUCUAGGGCAACAUUUCUAACUAAAUAACUGAUGAAAAUACAUUUGUAGUAUGAAACAUCCUAUAAGCAAGGGUCAGGCCUUUAUAAUAAUGUAAAAAUACCUACUACCUAUCUUUAUAUAUUAUGUGCUCCUCUCCUAGAGUGCAAGAAUCCUGUCUUAGGUUUCCAUCUUCAGAACUGUCAUACAAUCAGUGUUCCUUAAGUGGAUGAACAUAUCUUAUUCUUCCUUUCAGAUGUGAAACCAAGAGCUUGUCAACAAACUUUAUUGAUGGUGAAAAUUUACCUGCUUCUUCAUACAAUUUUUACUAUUUCUGUAUCUUGUCAUCAAGGACACAGUUGAUUUUAUCUGUACUGGGAAAAAUGUGUCAAAAAUAUUACAAAUUUUGUGAAGACUUGUACACAAACUUUCUAUUCUACUGUUUGUAUAAAGCAUUAUAAGGAGAUAAAGGUCAGAAAACAAGAUAUAGUUUUGCAGACAUGGUUGCCCAAGGUUAUUAGCUAAGAAGUGGUAAAGUUACAAUCAAGACCCAGCUAACUCCCAAUCUCAUGUGCUUUCUAUUACAAUACAGUUUUACAGGAAUACCUGUUCUUAAUUCAUUUAUUAGUCUAGAAAACAUUUUUUGGAAAAAUUUUAGGAAAAAAAAAAAAACUUCAUAGAAAAGACUAAUUACACAUGCUUUAUUUUAAAAAUUCUUCUGGGCCAUCACAUCUCUGAUGUCACUAAGACUCAAAACAUUAAAAUAUCACAUUAAAUAAAACCGCAGUUGCAUGCACUGGACAUAAAGCAGAAUACAUAUAUAUGUGAUCCUUUGACAAGCUUCAUUCUGACUGCUUACAUUCAUUCUUGUCAUCUUUCCAAGGAGACAACUCAAGCUUAGAAGCCUUACCGAAAACCCACAGUUGUUUUCCUGCACCACCCACCUCCUUCAAUUAGUUUCCCCUUCUCCAUACCAUUCUGUGUCCUUACCAAUCUCUACCUUUGGCACUGGGAUGCUUUCCCCACCCCAGACCUUCACGUGACUCGUUUUCAUUCUUGCAGCCUAGAGGGUCUACUAUCUAAAGUGGCCUCUCCCAGUUACUGCUUCCUAAGCACAUAUUACAAUUUAUAAUUAACCUUUUUACUUAUUUUUACUAGCAAAUUGUCUUUCCCAUCAGGAUAUCCCAUGAGGGCUCUCUCCACACCAUUGUCUCUACAACACCUUCUUUUCCAUCAUUACCAAAACCGCACUGGAAAUACUGCCAUUUCUACCACCUCCCAUAAGUAAGUUCAUCAAGGCUAAGUGGUGUCUUAUUCAUGUUUCCCCAGCACUUGGUAAAGUCCCUGGCCCAUCCUAGGAAGUCAGUAAAAAUUUGUAAAAUAAAUUAGCUUGCUAAACAAGGAUUACUACUAAGGAAGCAGAGAACACCACCACAUUAACAUUUAAUAGUACAGGGCAACAUUGCAGGUUGUACACACAAACACUGGAGUGGUACAAUGUACGGAAAAGAGUAGUAAGGGCAAAAUUCCAUUUAAAGGGAUGAGGUGCUUUCUGCCUCGGCAGAGAGAGAGAAGAGCAAUCAAGCAAGCUAACUUUUAUUCUACUCCGGACCAACAGAACACAUUGGCCCCCAAAAUUUUUAUUGUAGAGGGCCGCGAUUUAUUCAGCACACUCGACUACUUAUUAAGACUCCAAGUACCAACAUACUACGAUUAUUUUGCAUUUUCUAAGGUACAACAGAUAAGGAGCAGAGGGGUGCCUCUGAAACCUGAUAGAACAAACAUGGAAGUAGAAAUAAUAAUGGCAAAUAUUUAUAUUUGUAAAAGACUUGAAAACAUACAGAAAGAUUUCAGAGUGGUCAUGGAGACUAAACACAACACACUCAUAAAUAUGUAAUCAUAGGUUAGGACCCACCAUGGCACAGAAGUGAUCAUACGACUGCCAAAAGAGGCCACACUACAUCUCUCUUCCCAUCCUCUUCUACUCAAAGAGUCAGUCUUAUUCUUGGUAGCACAAUCGUCUCAAAGGAAUACAGAAAAGACGAAAAUACGACUUAAACGUUAAAAAAAAAAAAAAAAAAGCAAAAACCAAACAACCAACCA